UACGAAGGGGGCGAGCGUUGUCCGGAAUCACUGGGCGUAAAGGGCGCGUAGGUGGUUUGAUAAGGGUGUGGUGAAAGCCCGGGGCUCAACCCCGGGUCGGCCGUGCGAACUGUCGAGCUGGAGCACUGUAGAGGCAGGUGGAAUUCCGGGUGUAGCGGUGGAAUGCGUAGAGAUCCGGAAGAACACCGGUGGCGAAGGCGGCCUGCUGGGCAGUGGCUGACGCUGAGGCGCGACAGCGUGGGGAGGCAAACAGG
This 254-nucleotide ribosomal RNA is filed under the name uncultured bacterium. RNAcentral describes it as "partial 16S ribosomal RNA". It matches the Rfam family "Bacterial small subunit ribosomal RNA", at positions 524 to 776 of the family's 1533-position model. The record is from RNAcentral.